AGAACGUCCACACAAGCGCCUAGCUUCAACGUGUCGAUUGGGCAAGUCUCUGGCUUAGGUGGAGUUGGUGUUGGCGGUGUUACGACCGGUGGGCUUGGUGUUGGUGGCGUAACAACAGGUGGCGGUGGGCACGGUGAUGGCGGUGGCGGUGGGCACGGUGAUGGCGGCGUUACGACGGGUGGAGGCGUAUGAGUGGGUGGUUUAGGGGUGGACGGAGGUGGUUUAACAGUGGGCGGUUUCGUGGGUGGUUUCGGGGUAGACGGAGGAGGUUUAACGGUGGGCGGUUUCGUGGGUGGUUUCGGGGUGGACGGAGGUGGUUUAACGGUGGGCGGUUUCGUGGGUGGUUUCGGGGUGGGAUGAGGUUUGGUAGGGGGUUUCGGAUGUGGGUGUGGUUUGACAGUGGGCGGUUUGGUAGGGGGUUUAGGGUGUGGGUGUGGUUUGACGGUGGGUGGUUUGGGAGGUUUUACUGCCGGUGGUUUAGGCGGUUUGCUAGGAUGUUUAGGCGGUUUGUGGGGGUGAGGUGAUGGUUUAGGAGGGCUACAGUCGCAAGCGAAGGAGACGGCAAGAAAGCCAAGGAAGAGGAAGAUAAGAAAAGAGAGGUUUUGUGUACGAGACCCCAUUUUUCUAGA
This 629-nucleotide long non-coding RNA is filed under the name Brassica rapa (field mustard). Its description in RNAcentral is "long non-coding RNA (BRAP_LNC002077)". The record is from RNAcentral. Lineage: Eukaryota; Viridiplantae; Streptophyta; Magnoliopsida; Brassicales; Brassicaceae.